CGCUCAGGGUUUGCGGAAUGGAGAGUAAACGGAGGGUUCUUCAGGAGGGGAGGGGAAAGGUAGGUUUAAAUCCCCCAGCCCCACAGUCAGCGUCUGGGUUUUGUGUGCGCCGCUUUCUUCUCUUUGGAGGUCAUGAGUAGCAACUCCUGUCGGGGCCCACCCCCGCUGCGCUGCCGGCAGUGGGCGUUUCCCGCCGAGACCCCCGCGCUCGGCCUUGAAUUUGACUGCAGGCUGGAGGCGCCACCAUUGCGAGUGGAGUGGGCCGGGGUUGGACGACAGGAGAGACCAUGGACCGGAUGGUGGAAAGGGCGGGAGCUGCUCGUUCGCGUUUCGCCGUAGCGAGGAUCCGGGUCGCCCUGCUUGCACCCCGGACUCGAAGAUGCUGCAGGGGUCAGCGUGCCAUCUCCGUCUCAGAUGCAACCGGGUUGCAUCGUUUUUCUUGAAGACGUCUAUUCCAUUGUUGUUCUGUUGACCGGUCCCACUUUCCUGAGUCCUUUGGAAUUGAGUUAUGUCCACAGCUGCCUUAAUUACUUUGGUUAGAAGUGGUGGGAGCCACGUGAGAAGGAGAGUGCUGCUGAGCUCCCGCCUACUGCAGGACGACAAGCGGCUGACACCCACCUGCCACACCUCCACUACUGAGCCUAGGUGUUCUCGGUUUGACCCGGAUGGCAGCGGGCGUCCAGCCACCUGGGACAAUUUUGGGAUCUGGGAUAACCGCAUCGAUGAGCCCAUUCUGCUGCCGCCCAGCAUUAAGUAUGGCAAGCCAAUUCCCAAAAUCAGUCUGGAAAACGUAGGCUGUGCCUCGCACAUUGGCAAACGAAAAGAGAAUGAAGACCGGUUUGUCAGCGCUCAGCUAACGGAUGAGGUCCUGUACUUUGCCGUGUAUGACGGGCACGGCGGACCUGCAGCUGCUGAUUUCUGUCACACUCACAUGGAGAAAUGCAUCAUGGAUUUGCUUCCUAAGGAGAAGAAUUUGGAAACUGUGUUGACCUUGGCUUUUCUAGAAAUAGAUAAAGCCUUUGCAAAGCACGCCCACCUGUCUGCUGAUGCAACCCUUCUGACCUCUGGGACUACUGCAACAGUAGCCCUGGUGAGAGAUGGUAUUGAACUGGUUGUAGCCAGUGUUGGGGAUAGCCGGGCUAUUUUGUGUAGAAAAGGAAAACCCAUGAAGCUGACCAUUGACCAUACUCCAGAAAGAAAAGAUGAAAAAGAAAGGAUCAAGAAAUGUGGUGGUUUUGUAGCUUGGAAUAGUUUGGGACAGCCUCACGUGAAUGGCAGACUUGCAAUGACAAGGAGUCUUGGAGAUUUGGAUCUUAAAACCAGUGGUGUGAUAGCAGAACCAGAAACAAAGAGGAUUAAGCUGCAUCAUGCCGAUGACAGCUUCCUGGUCCUCACUACGGAUGGAAUUAACUUCAUGGUGAAUAGUCAAGAGAUCUGUGACUUUGUCAAUCAGUGCCAUGAUCCCAGUGAAGCAGCCCAUGCUGUGAUUGAGCAGGCAAUACAGUAUGGUAGUGAAGAUAACAGUACUGCGGUAGUAGUGCCUUUUGGUGCCUGGGGAAAAUACAAGAACUCAGAAAUCAACUUCUCAUUCAGCAGAAGCUUUGCCUCCAGUGGACGAUGGGCCUGAUUGCUUGCUGGGACUUCUGUGAAAUGGUUUUUCACUGAGUAUGUCAAGAAACUUACUAGAUCAAACAAGUCAGCUGUGUCGGGGUGACUCUGACUCACUAGAUCAGUACACAAGUCAGUGUAAAUGUUCUAGCCAUUUACAUUGUAGUGUUUCAUAAAUAUCUGUCCUAUUUAUGUUCAACUGUACGUACUCAGUAUAGUACGUACUCAGUAUAAAUAUGUGUGGUUCAGCUAUUGUGAGUCUCGAAGUUGAGUGAGCAAAUGAAAAGUGGUUUUGACACACUUGCUGUGUGUUAAAUUUCUAAUUUUCUAAAACUCUUAGGCAGCUAUGAGUUUCUUUUAAUCAGUUGUGUUCUUUAUUCAUUUGGACAGAUUCUUGCCUUAGAGUUCUGCAACACUAGUAGGCAUUUUGACAGCUCUGCAAUGUGUUAGCUGCAAGUGUUUAUUUUUAAUAGUUCUACCAAGGAAUAAGUGUGAAAACUGAGUUCUGUGUGACUAUAUUUUGUAUCCUGGACCACUUACUGAUAAACUUCACCGUGCAAAAGACAUUAAUUGACAGACUAUGACGUUGCUAAAGCAUGCGCAUAUUUACGACAGUGCACUUUCGUAUUUCAGCUGUGUCCCUUGGUCUCCAUUCUUCUUUUUCUGUAGCUAAGAAUGCUGUAUAGUUACACAGACUACUCCUUUAAAUCAGAGAAGUAUGUACAGGCUGAGGCUUUUAGUCAAAGCUAUACGAACUGAAAUACUGACAGUAUCAAGUACUUUGUAUAAAGUUCCACUUGUUAUCUCUAACUCUGUGUUUUGUGUUUUGUAUAUAGUAUGUUUAUGUCACUUUUUGUAUAGAGUAAGCAAGUUGGAUAAUGUGUCAGUAAAAAUGAUACCACAUUGACUGACAAUGCUACAGACAUAAUGUGAGGUUUAUGUCUCCUUUCGCUUAUUUCUAUGAUUCAUAACAAAGAAUAAAUCUAAAACAUUAAAGCAUUCUAUAUUUCAGCUUGCUAAUGUAAUUUAGGAAUGCAAAACUAUACUUCCUUACAUCUGCAUGUAAGUUUGCUGUUAAAAUGUGAAUCUCUACAUCAUGUUUGGAAUUAUAUCUGCAGUUUAUUUUGGCAGACAAUGUAAAUUUGUUAUAUGUGUGAGUGUAUGUACAUAUGUAAAUUUUGGAAUAAUAGAGAAUUAAAGGGAACAAUCUUGCAUAGCUCCUUCACCAGUUAGCUUUAAAUUACUGAUAUGUUUAUCCUCAAGGACUCUUGACAAACGGAAGACAGUUUUAUAGUGGAGAACCAGUGGUAUUGGCAGGUGAGGAAGUGAAUUUAAAAUGGCUGUAGGAGAUAUUUUGUGGUGGGUAAAUGAUGUGGAAAACAGAAGCAGACUAGCAUGUUGAAGCUACAUUGCUAUAUGGUAAUUUGCAAAUAAAAUACUAGGAUGUGAGGAAAAUACUGAGUGUUAAGAAUGAUGUGGAGUUUUGUUGUAGAAACAAGCAAAAAAAGAAACCAAGAAGAUAAAGUUGGUGGAGUGUAUGCCUUCUACUCUCAGUUUCAUGGUCGACUUGUUUUCUGUUUUUAUGUUUUAUUUAAAGGUUUGUUAGAAGGAAGAUGGCCCAAUACAAAUAUUCACAUCUUCUCACCUUUGGGAAUGGAAGAAAAUAAAUCUUGAGUUUUCCUGCAUAUAUUAAUCAGGAAUUUUCCUUUGACAAGAAGAAGGUGACAAAGAAAUAUUUCAAUUUUUUUUUUCCCAAGGAACCUUAGUGAAAGUAAAAAACAUUACAGAAAAGAAAAUAGUCUCCUGUUCCUUGUCUGGGAAGUGAAGAACCAAAGGUAGGCUAAGAAAGCUGGAACACUUUCUUGUUCUAUCUGAGUUAGGUCCCAGAACCUAAAUAUAGAAGCUUCACUUGGGAAUAUGGAGAAUUUCCAAACUAACAAGCAAACAAAAACUCUAAAGCACAAAAUGACAUUCUGAAAAUGAAGGUUUCAUUUUUGAUCUGAAUUCUUCACAUGACUAUUCCUCUCUUUUACUUUAAAAACUAAGGGCGGGAGUGAUGUUGUCAAGCUCAAAAGUCACUGAUGCACUGAGGCAAGUGCCAGGUUUAACAAAGAGGAAUUUGAAGGGUUGUCUAGGCCUUGGUUUGGGGUAGACUUUGCUCUGCUUCGCCUGAAAAGCUUUUAAAACUCAAAAUCAGUCAACUUUGACUAAAGCAUAAACACAUACUGGUGUUUGUUUUUUAAGCCACAAUGUUGAAGUAUAAUUUGUAGGUUAUUGUAAUCCACAAAAGAUAAUAAGCCUACAAGGAAUUAUGCAAAUAGUAAUGAAGAAAGGACUGCUCUAAAUACAGUUUUUUUACUUAUAACUGUGAAUUUACCAUGUGGCUAUUACCAUGUGGGUGUAGGUAUAGUGUAGAUUAUAUAUUAAUAUAAUUAAACCUAAAUCCAUUAUAAUUUAUACUUGCCCUUCAUUUAUAUGUAGAAUAUAAAUCAUCUUUAUCAAAUGUGUUGCCAAACUAUUUGCCAACAUUGAUUUGGCAAAAUAUUCUUAAAAUAAAUCAUUGUGAUUUUUCACAAGUAUAAGUUCUUCAGUACCUAAUAUAUUCAAAAGUAAAUGCUGUCCUUCUCUCCAUCAACUGUUUAUUUGUUGUAGAUUUUUGUGUUUAAGUGCUUCAAAGUCUUAUGCAUUUUUUUCUGAAAAAAAAAAAGAGUUUGUUUUGAAUCUCUGUACUCUAUGAUGUGAACUUCUCUCAAGUUCCUAAAUUAAAAAGAAAUUAUUUGCUUUGAAGAAUUAUUCGUACAUUGUCUGAAUAGAAAUUAUUUUUUCAAAGUGGAAUUUGAUUUUUUUUUUUUUUUCAACGAAUCCUGGCAGAGAAUGUUUUAGGUCUGUGCUAACUCUUCAAUAUCAGACAGGACAUUUAGUUUCCUUUCUAAGAAUGGACAAGGAUUUAAUUUCAUGGUAAUAUGAUAGUAAGAAAAUGCUUCAAGGCAGGGGAAGGCAUGGUUAAAGUUUAGCAUCAAACAGUUAAAUACAAACAUGGGUUUGUUUUUAGCACUUCAGUUCACAUACUCUUAUCUGCAGAAAGUGAUAUAAAAUUUUGGUUGGAUUACGUUUUAUUGUACUUAUUAGAUUCACUUAUCUGGAUGACUUACGCAGAAGUAAAACAUCAUGUCUUUGCAAGCCAAAUUCUGAUGACCUGCCUGUUGCUUUUGGUAUCUGGAAUGGGAUCCAUGGAUUCUGGUGGCUCCCACUGGUUGUUAGAUGGUUGAAAUGGUCCACUGAUGGUCAAAUGAGUGUUCUGGGCUGUGAAACCAUGGAAUUCUUCCACCUCCAAGAAUGACUCAUCUGCCGUUGGAUUUCAGUACAAAAUUUAGUAGCUUAAUGUGUCCUAAAUUAAUUUAGUCUGCUGACAUGCUCCUGUGUACAUUGUUUUACAAUUUAACCAAAGUGCUACUUGUGCGUACUUUGUAAUUUUUCCUAGUGAGUUGAUGUAAUUGCUGCUUUGACCAUUGUUUUAAAUGUAUGUAUUAGAGUAAUAGUGAACAGACUAAAAUCAGAUAUCUCAGUGUUCAAAAUACCAUUUUAAUAAAGUACAUUCAUUAAGCACUUUUAAAAA
RNA transcript from Ailuropoda melanoleuca (giant panda), 5224 nucleotides. It is a transcript of the gene named protein phosphatase, Mg2+/Mn2+ dependent 1K, with no coding region annotated. The record is from RefSeq and is a predicted model, not a curated record. NCBI's taxonomy places the organism in Eukaryota, Metazoa, Chordata, Mammalia, Carnivora, Ursidae. The transcript is spliced from 8 exons.